AAGAAUGUAAUUUAUUUUAAAAUGUUAGGCUUCAAACUUAGCUAUGAGCUUAGGCUCCGUUCUUG
Molecule: transfer RNA, 65 nt
Filed under: Brachidontes mutabilis
Lineage: Eukaryota; Metazoa; Mollusca; Bivalvia; Mytilida; Mytilidae
Also listed under: 1 other name
Description: tRNA-Trp
Source: RNAcentral